Molecule: transfer RNA, 73 nt
Filed under: Acidimicrobiia bacterium
Lineage: Bacteria; Bacillati; Actinomycetota; Acidimicrobiia
Also listed under: 1 other name
Description: tRNA-Ala
Rfam family: tRNA
About the family: Transfer RNA (tRNA) molecules are approximately 80 nucleotides in length. Their secondary structure includes four short double-helical elements and three loops (D, anti-codon, and T loops).
Source: RNAcentral
GGGGAUGUAGCUCAGUUGGAAGAGCACCUGCUUUGCAAGCAGGGGGUCGUCGGUUCAAGUCCGAUCAUCUCCA